CACGUAGGGGGCGAGCGUUGUCCGGAUUUAUUGGGCGUAAAGAGCUCGUAGGCGGCUCGGUAAGUCAGGUGUGAAAACUCUAGGCUCAACCUAGAGACGCCACCUGAUACUGCUGUGGCUAGAGUCCGGUAGGGGAGCAUGGAAUUCCUGGUGUAGCGGUGAAAUGCGCAGAUAUCAGGAGGAACACCAGUGGCGAAGGCGCCACUCUGGGCCGAAACUGACGCUGAGGAGCGAAAGCGUGGGUAGCAAACAGG
RNAcentral lists this ribosomal RNA (254 nucleotides) under uncultured bacterium. RNAcentral describes it as "partial 16S ribosomal RNA". It matches the Rfam family "Bacterial small subunit ribosomal RNA", at positions 524 to 776 of the family's 1533-position model. The record is from RNAcentral.